CAAUAGCAUAUAUUAACGUUGUUGCAGUUGAAAAGCUCGUAGUUGAACUUUUGGUAGGAGCGACCUGGCCUUGGGCGCAUGCCCUUGCUUUGCCGUGUGUCGUAUCUGGCCAUCCUUUUCUUCUUCGGAAGGAAUCCUUUACUGUGAGUAAACUGGAGUGCUCAAAACAAGACGUUUGUUUGGUACAUUAAAGCAUGGAAUAAUAAGAUAGGACCUGGUUACUAUUUUGUUGGUUUGCAUAGCUAGGUAAUGAUUAACAGGGACAGUUGGGGGUAUUCGUAUUUAAUUGUCAGAGGUGAAAUUCUUGGAUUUAUGAAAGACGAACGACUGCGAAAGCAUUUACCAAGGAUGUUUNCAUUAA
Molecule: ribosomal RNA, 361 nt
Filed under: uncultured eukaryote
Lineage: Eukaryota
Description: partial 18S ribosomal RNA
Rfam family: Eukaryotic small subunit ribosomal RNA
Source: RNAcentral